RNAcentral lists this ribosomal RNA (247 nucleotides) under uncultured bacterium. Its description in RNAcentral is "partial small subunit ribosomal RNA". It matches the Rfam family "Bacterial small subunit ribosomal RNA", at positions 26 to 285 of the family's 1533-position model. The record is from RNAcentral.
AGAAUCAACGCUGGCGGCGUGCCUAACACAUGCAAGUCGCACGAGAAAGCGGACUUCGGUCUGUGAGUAAAGUGGCGCACGGGUGAGUAACACGUGAAUGAUCUACCUCCGAGUGGGGAAUAACUGAGAGAAAUCUUAGCUAAUACCGCAUAACACUUAUGAGUCAAAGCAGCAAUGCGCUUGGAGAGGAGUUCGCGGCAGAUUAGUUAGUUGGCGGGGUAAUGGCCCACCAAGACAAUGAUCUGUA